This 3161-nucleotide long non-coding RNA is filed under the name Sus scrofa (pig). Its description in RNAcentral is "lncRNA (ENSSSCG00050076256.1)". The record is from RNAcentral. Lineage: Eukaryota; Metazoa; Chordata; Mammalia; Artiodactyla; Suidae.
AGGCCUUUGCCACGUGUUGCAAAUAUAUUUUUUUCACUCUUUAAUGUAGUACUUCACUUUAUGAUCUUUUUAUCAAAUCAGUUUGGAAAUGGAAUAACUGAUCUUCACUGAGUUAAAAUGCCUCUUCCAUCAUACAAUAAAUUCCUAUACAUAUUAAGUAAGGUCUAUUGCUGGACUCUGUAUUGUCCGGUAAUCCAUCUAUAGCUAAAACAGAUUCAAAGUAUUUUACUUACAGUAAUUUUAACAUAUUUCUCUUAUUUAGUAGGAUUAGCUACCCUUCACUGCACAGCUAUCCUAUUUUUUUCCUAGCUAUUUCCAGAUAUUUAUUCCUCUAAACAAAAUGUAACACAACAUUGUCAGUUUCUAAAAAAAGAAAAAUCCUUCAGAAAUCUUCAUUGGUAGUUCAUUGAAUGUUUCUUACUGCUAAAAUCAAAUAGCCAUUUAACUCACAAUUUAGAUACAGAAGUACUAUUAACAUUGAUUAUAUUUGUCUUGUUAUGAGAUAUUCAUAUAAAGUGCAAAUAAUUUACACAUUCCUUUCUCUUAUCUCACUGCAUUGGCUAAUAGACACUGUCCCCUUUGCCUCCUAGUCUAAUAAAAAAGAAUAAAAAGCUAAAAAUUACAAGUUUGUUCCUGACUUUAAUGGGAAUUCUUCAAGUUUUCUUUUUGUUUUGUUUUGUUUUUAGGGCCACACUUGCAGCACAUGGAUAUUCCCAGGCUAGGGAUCUAAUCGGAGGUGUAGCUGUGGCCUACACCACAGCCACAGCAACACAGGAUCCGAGCCGUGUCUGCAACCUACAUCACAGCUCACAGCAACGCCAGAUCCUUAACCCACUGAGCAAGGCCAGGGAUUGAACCCGAAAACUCAUGGUUCCUAGUGGGAUUCAUUUCCGCUGCGCCACGACAGGAACUCCCAGGAAUUCUUCAAAUAUUUUAAACAUAACUCUGUGUAAACAUAACAAUGAUACUUAGUUCGUGAUAAAUACUUUUAUCAUGUUAAGUACAUAAGUAACUUCUCCUACUGUAUCAAACUUUUUUCAAAUUAUAAAGCUGUUGCAUUUUAUCAAAGACCUUUUGAUAAUAUAUUUGAGAUAAUGAGGGUUUUUUUCCCUUUUUAUGUGGCAUCUUAAAAAAAUCAAAAUGGAAUGCAUUCACUAUAUUUCACUUAUCUACCUAAUUAUAGUCCUCCCCAAAACCUAUGCAUAUUAUUUAAGCACAUUUUCCCUGGCAACAAUGUGCUGCCUUUCCACCAAAUGAUGUGUAUCUAAAUAAAUUUCUGUGGUUUGUUUAUUAAUAUAAACCACACCAACUUCCCUGGUAAAGAAAUGGGAACAGAAAUUCUACAAUGUAAAAAAUGGAAUCAAUAUAUUCAUGUCAUACAAAUCAAGAUCUCUCAAAUUCUUUGGUAGGGAACUCAUUAUCCCAUGAGAUGAUAAAAAAUGCCCUCAAAUCACCUAAGAUUUAGAAACAAUGAGUUAACUAAAGUUAAUCAAUUUAUCUACUAUUGGAUAUUUCAGAAUAUUUCCUACGCUUGUAUUUUAAAGUUAAUGUGCACUGUGUUUCUUCAGUGGAGGUGUGUGUGGGGGGGUACACAGCAUGCAAAAUUUCCCAGUUAUUUGGCCAAGACAUAUCCUUCAUCCAUGUACAACAAAACCCAUGUCAGCGGGCACUGGCAUCAAAAUAUACUGUUGGUAGAGCUGUCCAGCCAACCUGACUGCUCUUGUUGCCACUGGUAACCAAGACAUCUCCCAAAAGAAGCCUCUGUCCCACAAGUGAGAAUGAGGCUGACCCACUGAGAGAAGAAGAGGUAAGAAAAAGACAAAUAUCCUAGUACCAUUCUCAUCUCUAAUUAUCUUGAGCUUCACUCCUAUUCAAACUGGCCCCGGGUAUACAGACAAUAGGAAGAAAGCAGCAGUUCUCAUACUGUGCUUAAAGGACUCCCUGAUGACACUGGGACCCUUUCCAGGGUACAUACAAGGUCAAAACUGUUCUCAUAAUAAUAAUAAGAUAUUACUUCUUCACACACAAUCCUCUCACAAAUCUCUGGUGAAGUUUUCCAGAGGCUACAUGACCUGAGAUGAACUAUCACACUGAUGGUAAAUGAAGUGAGCGCCCUUGUAUAUGCUUGUAUUUUUAAAGUUGCUCAAUUUUUUAUUUAUUUAUUCACCACAUCCACACAGAAUGCAGAAGUUCUCAGGCCAGGGAUUGAUACCACACCACAGCACUGACCCGCACCACACUGGAUCCUUAACCCACUGAGCCACCAGAGAAUGCCCUGUUAUUCUAAUUUACUUUUCAUCAUUAAGGGUCUUUUCCUUGUCUUUAACCAUUAAAACUGCCAUAUUUUAUUUGUUUUUAUUUUAUUGAAGUAUAGUUGGUUUACAAUGUUGUGUUAAUUUUGCUAUAUGGCAAAAUGAUUCAGUUAUGCAUAUAUGUAUAUAUGCAUACUUUUCAAUAUUCUUUUCCAUUAUGGCUUAUCAUAGGAUAUUGAAUAUAGUACUCUGUGCUAUACAUAUGACAUUUUGUUUAAAACUGCUAUAUUUUGGGAGUUCCCGUCGUGGCACAGUGGUUAACGAAUCUGACUAGAAACCAUGAGGUUGCGGGUUCGAUCCCUGCCCUUGCUCAGUGGGUUAACGAUCCGGCAUUGCCGUGAGCUGUGGCCAGGAGCUGCUGCUCCAGUUCGACCCCUAGCCUGGGAACUUCUAUAUGCCAUGGGUGCUACCCUAAAAUGACCAAAGGAAAAAAAAGAAAAAGAAAAUAGCUCUUGUUUCUAGUUCUGUGACUUUGCAUAAUUCUGUGCCCAUAUAAACACAGCCAAUAAAAAAUUCCACUUAAAAAUCUCCAUGAAUGUAUACAUGGUACAACUUCACAACUAACAGUAUUCUUUUUUUUUCCCUUCUCCAUUCAUACUGUUUUAUGAUUUGUCUCUCCCACUACAGUUUAUCACAGGAUAUUGAAUAUAGUUCCCUGUGCUAUGCAGUAGGACCUUAGUGUCUAUCAAUUCUAUAUAUAAUGGUUUGCAUCUGCUAAUCCCAAACUUCAAAUCCAUCCCUCCCCCACCCAAUUCUGACUUGGCAAACACAAGUCUGUUCUCUAUAUAACUGACAAUAUUCUUUAACAAGACAGUUUUUAAAAAAAAUGGAAAGAGGAGUUCCCUUCAU